AUUUCUAUUCAAUGUGUGGACAAUCCUGUUGGAUGUCCUGGUGUAAUCGUCUAUGACGAUGAAACAUUUCCCAUUUCUUUCCAACAGGAUACCACACAGGGGACUGCCUGCAGCGAUGGAGAAGGCCCUCACAGUUCUGUGAGAGUUUUCCAAUGGCCCAGUAAUGAAGCUAAAGAGGACAUUACUCUGUCGAGGGAUUCUCCAGAGACCAACAGGGAUUCAAACUGCUGCUGCAGUGUGCAGUAAUGUGGCGGCACCUGACUCAACCACUGAGGAAGACGUCCCCUCGGAGAGAAGACCAGCAGGAAUGAGAGAACCCACACUCUGGCUACGUAUUGCAGUACUAUCACAGGCUGCUGAUUAAUGAUGCAUUGAAGCCAAUAUCUCAUUAAUAACCACUGUCAAUACAAUAAUUAGUAAUGGUUGUGUAAUACAUGUGGAUUUGCGACAGUUACACCUUCUAAAAACUGUAAAAUAUGAAUAGAUUUACAGACUUUACCAUUAUGACCUUCUCUUGCACAAAGACGUAAAAUACUUAAGAGACUCUGUGCCUGUGACCAAAGGGUGCUGUACAUUUUAGUGCUCUUGCAAUGUCCAUUGUGGUGUUAAUUAGUAGUUUCAGUUGUUUAGUUUUAAAACACCACCAGAUAGAUGGUUUAGACUUACUGUAAUUUUGUUAUGCGUGGUUCACCAU
Seriola dumerili (greater amberjack) is the source of this 694-nucleotide long non-coding RNA. RefSeq lists it as uncharacterized. The transcript has 4 exons. The record is from RefSeq and is a predicted model, not a curated record. Lineage: Eukaryota; Metazoa; Chordata; Actinopteri; Carangiformes; Carangidae.